CCGCCCCCGCCCCCGCCCUUCCUCUUUGUGCGCGCUGCCGUCACGGCCGCCGAACGCACGCCAGGCUCACCCGUGCUCGGGUCAGCCCUGGUCGCGCGCCCUUCGACUUGGUCCCCACCUUUGCACCGGCCGCCGUCUCUCGGAUCCGCUGCCAGGCCUUAACCCACAGCCAGACCCACGCACACGGCAGAUCCUAGCGGCAGUGCAGCUCCAUCCACAGUCCACCCCUGCGCUCCAACAUGACACACCUCCGCAGAUCAAGCAGAGUCACACAGCUCGUCACCGGCACCAACAGGCAGGCGUAUGCAUCUCUCAUCCUUCCCUGUCCUUCUCCUAAUUUUCCUCCCCUUCUUGCUAUGUUUGAAUCGGUUGGUCCUAUGCCUGAUCUGCAGCAUCCGUGUAAUUCUAAUAUGUGCUUCUUAAGUGUUCGAUGGUAUUCCGCUAAGAAGAGGCUAGGUCCAAUCCCAUGUGCAUCUUGGAGGCAUGAGAUGUAUAACCAGGUCUCUUGUUUGCCUGUAAUUGAUUCUUUAGACUGCCAAACAGAACGUAUGUGAAACCCUGCAAUUAAUGAUAAUUUCUCUAGAACUAUAGUUUUUAUCCAUACGAAUUUGCAAUACAAACUAAUGUUUAGUCAUAAAAAAAGAUAUAUCCUUUUGCUUUUCAAGGAAAGUAGUAUUAUCUUUGGAAAUAAAUUUUAUUAAUAAAGUGUGUGUUAAAAUUAUUCUAGCAUUUUUCAAAAUGCAGAUAGCUUUGCAAAAAAAAAAGAUAAAAUGGGUUUUGUAAAUGGUCCUAUAUGUAUCCUUUUCCUGGUAAAGAUGAAGCACGUGUGUAUUCUGAAAGUUUUAUAUGGAAAUCAAAGAGGUCGAUUGAGUUUUGGUCCGAAGCGAUUUCAUUUGACUCCAGAAUGCAAUUUGACUCCAAGGCGAUUUCAUUUUUCUCUAAACUUCACUAAACUCCUGGUAUAGAGGUCUUUGGAAAAACUGGGGACAUAUAUGAGUAGCUGAAAGAUUAUGAACAAAAGCAAUAUUACUAUUAUAUGAUUAAAGCAUACAUUUACUGAUAUAUUUUUUCGUCCAUGCUGGCUGCAACGCAGAUGCCUCAGGAGGCUGCUGGUUGGUUUCAGGGCACAAUAGAUGUUGUUAGAAAAUUUAUAUGGGUACUUAAGUUCGUUAGCAUGGAGACACACUAUCUACUCUCAUGAUGUGCUGAUGGUACUAUUGUAGCUAGGAAGAUCGGUCUAGCAAAGGAGAGGGGUCUCUACGUUGCACCUCUAGGAUGCAUAAAAGGGAUCACCUGCCGGAAGGAUGGUGUACGAUACUAUUGCAAUUUUUGCUUGUACUUCUUCGGAUUGUAUUGUUGUUAUUUGGGAGAUGGCAAUUCAGCCCACCGCCACUUGUAAGAUUUUCUUCCUUGUGGAUUGACAUUAUUACUAUUAGGAGCCAAAAUUUUUGCGGUGCUGGUUUCACUAUUCAAACUCAAAUUAUUUUUAUUUUAUGAUUUUGACGGUUCUUGGAAAUAUGGACUGCAUUUGUACCUAACUUUGCUCAUCUCAGGAGAGAACCACUCGGAUAUGGAAAAUGACUUCACAAGCUGCUUCUUCUGGCUUGCUCUAUUAGCCAAUGAAAAUGUUUGAUCUCAACACUAUUGGACCAUAUACUUCAUAUUUUAAGUGGUGUUUACCCUUGCCAUGAAAAUGUUCUAUAUCUUCAGUACUAGAUAUUGUGUUCCCUGAUAUGCUUUUUUCUUGACUUUGAAAAUGUAUACUUUGAGAAAAGGUAUACUUAAUAUGGCAUAGGAUUCAUAAGUUAACUUUAGAUUUAAUAUAGUCGUAGAGUUAGCACGGGCAGUAUACUAUUAGACUAAUCAGUGACUGUCCCCUAGGAUUAGCAAGAAAGAAAAAGCUUGCAUAAUUUAAGGGUUCUGUGAGUACUUUGAAGACAAGUGGAUUGUGGACAUGAUAGGGUUUGGCACUUCGUUAACUGCAUUUUUUACAAUUUCAUAUAUUGUUUUUGACUGGAAUGUUAUAUAUAUCAAAUUACACUAGAUAUGGAGAUAUGGAGAAUGUUAUAAUAUAUAUGCAAAGCCAUGAUUAGUCACCAGGAACCACUUAGUGGCUCCUAGAAACUAUCCACGACUUAGGCAACUGACCACUAAUAACUAUGACCAAUCACCCACUAACACCACACACCUGUCCUCCUAAAGACUAGCUAGGACAUUGCUACCUGUAAAACUGAAACAGACAACUAUUUACACUUUACUCUAUCUACUGCUAUUGAAUAAUGUGCAUGGAGUACAGCCGACAGAUUGUUGCUGAGCAGAGAGAUAUUAUGAAGAAAGCAUAGUCCAAGCAAGGAGUUUCUCAGUGCUCAAGAUUUACAGAUUUGCAAGAUAUACAUUUGCUAACCAUAUUGGUCAAUGUUAUCAAGUUGUUUUCCAUCUAAAUAGUAUCAAUUUUGUUAGUUAAAGGUGCUAAGUUGGGCACAUUUAGAGUAUUUAGUCACAUUGCAGGGAUUGAUUUGGUAGAAAGAUUAUCCUACUGUCUUUGAUUAAAGGAUGUAAUGUUGAAACUCUUAGCUGGACAGGAGUAGGGGGGGAGUAAUUAGAUCCUUGAUAUAGUUUAGUGAUUUCUUGUGGAGGACAAAAAGAAAUGGUCUUUUAGCGUCAGGUGAACUGAAGUGUUAUACCAAUGAGUUAGUAUUUGCUUUUUUUUCUCGGGUUCAAUGAUGAGGGAGUGAACUACAUGAUCCACCUUUUAAUUUUAUUUUACUGCUUUGUCAUUUUUUGUGAGACUUGUAGGCUGAACUUGCACGGUGAAGUGUAGAAGUUGUUCUCAUGGUAAAAAUA
Molecule: long non-coding RNA, 2844 nt
Organism: Sorghum bicolor (sorghum)
Lineage: Eukaryota; Viridiplantae; Streptophyta; Magnoliopsida; Poales; Poaceae
Exons: 3
Source: RefSeq, a predicted model, not a curated record